AAGGGAGGGGAGCAGGGAAGGUCUUCAAUAGCCCAAGGAAAAACACAAACUAAGACAUUGCUGGACGCUAGGAUCCAGCAGUUACCUGUGUGUGUCCGUCUACGAAGCUGCAAGCCGGACACGCUUUGUUGCAGAAAGGAUGCAACCAGCCAGGUGACGUCCCUGUUACUCAGCCUGCUUUCGGCCCUCACUCCCCCGGCUCUCCCCGCCACUCCCUCUGAACACCUCCUAGGAACACUGUUCCUACAUGCUGCUGGAAAGGAAGGAAAAACAGCCUUUUUCUCUCCACUCUUUGAACAAGCUCAUUUGGGGAGAGGGAAUACUCCUCCUGCUCAGCACAGCAUGAAGAACUAUUUCAACUAUUUCAGAGACUCAAAGCGUCCACUGUAGUCGGGUUUUUUUUCUUCGCCCAAACUCACUAAUGUUCGGUGCAUGUCUGAUUGCAAUUAAUGCUGUCAUGCUUUGCAGACCACAUGGGAAAUCAUCUACAAGUGGGACUGAAUAAUGAAUAGAACAAACUGGUGCAUUCUUUCUAUGCUGCCAGUCAUGAAAGGUCUUCUAAUUGAGUUACAGCUUUCACAGUAAGCUUUGGAUCUUGCAAUGAACCCAGUGAUAGGAGGUGAUUUGUACACUUUUAUUUUGAUUCAGUGACCUAAAAUUUUAAUACAGUUAGAAAAACGCAAAGGGUAAGAUUGCAGUGUCUGUAAACAGGUACACACAGCAGAACUUUUCACAUUCCUCACAUAACAUGGGUCUAGAUUACUAUUUAGCAACAGGAAUAAACAAUAGCCAAAAUAUUUUUUAUUUUCAUAAGAAAUGCUCGCAAAGAUCACACAGACCGUUAUAAACCACAAGUUAAUUUGAAAUUAAAAUAACACUUACAAUAAUGAAGUGUUACUCUAUGGUUCCAUUGAGAGAGACACAAACUGAACAGUAACAAGCUGUCUCUUUCUUCCCAAGGCGUUUGCACUGAUACGCAUAAAAGAUGGUGUCACAUAGCAACACACUGAUUCAACAUGUAUGGUAGCAAUACAGUUCUCUUCAAACAUGUCUGCUGACGUAGAAGUAUUACUCACCAGUGAUUACUUCUAAUAACGGACAGGAAAUUAAUUUCUCAUACUUACAUGUGCUCACUUUUGGGUUUUUUUUUAGUGAGGCUGUUCUGGACUUGGGUAUACAGUUCAUUGGGAAAAAAAUUAAGUAGGCAACCAAACAGCUGACAUCUUUCAGUGAGAACAAAGGCUUUAAUCUGGCAAAUGGGAAAUGAAUGAGCCCAUGUGCUGGAAUCAAGUUGUUGAGGAUCUGACUAUUUUCCCUAAAGGCGUUGCUCCCAACACUUAGCACCGGGCAUAAUCCUUGGUGUAAUACAAAUAAAUCAGCUUAAUGAAGAGAUAGAUUUGAUUGACUACGUGGAAGAGCCUGUGAAAAUAGCCUCGCAAUAGGACUAGGAAGUCAAAAUAUAAGGGGAAAUCCAUCUAUGUAAAAGACAGAAAACCCUGACACAUUAUUCUGAAACUUUAUCUUUUUCCCACUGUACAAAGACUAAGAUCAACUUCUGUGAAACAAAAGCAGAGAGGCAAUGCUUUGGAUUAAUUACUUCUCACUAAAGCAUCUGUGAUCCACUCCUUCCAGGAAGAAAAAAUUUUGAACCCAUUGCUGUGUGCACUGCUGGUUCAGGUUGCCAUCUCACGGGGACACAGAUACUCUUUUUGCUUUGUCACUGAUGCCCACAGUUAUUGCACCAGCUUCCUUUGCCAAGCUGAAACUAUAACUCAAAAUCACCUGCCUUACGUUUGUCCCAGAAAAAAAUGCAAAUUUGUCAUGUUUCCUCAGUAAUUUUUUUUCCAUUUAGUGAUAUUUUCAAAUCUUUGAAGUGCCACUACCUAGUAUUGUUUAGGUGAAUGGAUUCACCUUAUUAAAACCACUUUACCACAGGAGUACGGUUAGUGAGGAUGCUUUCUCUACAUAUCCACAAUUUAUUGUGCUUGAUUAUAGAUCUGUGGAGGACCUCAACUAGUGAGUUAUUGGCAGCAUAAUAAUCCAUCAGUAAGUUCCUAACUGAGCACAGGAGCAAUUUUAGAAUUAUCCUCUUUCACCCAGCAAAAUAAAAUCUGUAUGGGGAUAGGAUGUUCCUGUGCCUAGAUCAAUGUGGAAACUCUAAAGAGAGAGGAGACCACAUUGACAUAAGGUAAAUUAGCAGAAGUACAUUUCCCAAGAGGAGUAAAGGGACCAAGCAGCCCUCUCCCUCAGACACCAAAAUAGUUUUAAUGCAGAGCUCCAGCAGUUUCUGGAAGGGAUUACAUGACCUUCACUGCCCACCAUAGCAAACCUGACUCUGACACACAGCUUCUCUUCCAGCUCUGUGUUUGUAUUACUCCCUUAAGUGUCUCUUUAUAAUGUACAGAGGCAGGGGGUAUGAGAAUUAGGGACUUCUUUCCCUAAUUCUUUCUUUUAUCCAUUGUCAUCAUUAGAUGAGUCACUUUCUUCUGUAAUCCAAGUAGAUACGUGUCUGUGUGAUUAAUGUGGGUGAAGGCACACACUUUCCCAGAGUUGCUUAGUGCAGUUUCACAGCCUGAAUAUAUGUGUAUUAAAGGAAAAUAAAAAUUUAGAAUCAAUAUUUGCUGAAGAUUUCUCUGGAAAUGGGCGUGCCUUUACAGGCUGAAUUUUCUCCUGCUGUGUGUUUUCAGUGGAGGAUGGAGUGAAGGCCUUUGUUUAUCCCUGAAUGCAGCUAAAAUGAGGUGUGAACAUGUUAAUUCUUGCUUCUCGGGUUGGUAUUUGGCAGAUCUGUUAAAGGCAACCAAAUCACAGCCUGCAUUCUUAUGUACUACUUGAAGGAACACACCCUGUACGUUGUUUGUAUGAUCAGUAAAUUAUAGAAGU
Long non-coding RNA from Aquila chrysaetos chrysaetos, 2880 nucleotides. RefSeq lists it as uncharacterized. The transcript is spliced from 3 exons. NCBI's taxonomy places the organism in Eukaryota, Metazoa, Chordata, Aves, Accipitriformes, Accipitridae. The record is from RefSeq and is a predicted model, not a curated record.